CCUACGGGAGGCAGCAGUAAGGAAUAUUGGACAAUGGAGGCAACUCUGAUCCAGCCAUGCCGCGUGAAGGAUGAAGGCCCUAUGGGUCGUAAACUUCUUUUGUACGAGAGAAAACCUAUUUACGUGUAGAUAGUUGAUAGUAUCGUAAGAAUAAGGAUCGGCUAACUUCGUGCCAGCAGCCGCGGUAA
Molecule: ribosomal RNA, 188 nt
Filed under: uncultured bacterium
Lineage: Bacteria
Description: partial 16S ribosomal RNA
Rfam family: Bacterial small subunit ribosomal RNA
Source: RNAcentral